AAUUAAAACACAAUUCAUUCAUGACAGAAAGAUACAAACAGCUUAGCAAGUCCAAACCGUUCUUGUCUUGAACCAUUUUGCUCAUUCUCUACGUCACCUCCUCUCUUCCCCAGCUGUAAAUCCCACCCUUCUUCCUUCCUCUGGCCGCCCUAUAAUUAAAUUUCUCUCCGUCUGUCUUCUUCUUCUUCUUACUUCUUUACCUCGGAGCAUCAGAAACAAAAGGAAACAAUUAUCACCGUCUCCGCCAGUACACCUGACCUGCAUUUUUCAUUCAAGUUUCAACCAUAUCAUAGCGUCAAAAGGUUUGAAUUUUGAACCGUCUUCAACUAUAGCCAUCCCCGUUUGACAAAACCUUUCCCAUAAAAAGACACCACAUCAUCUCUGUACCUGCACAUCCAAUCUUUCUCUAUCCACCAGAAAGCCACCACCCACAGCCCAAAAUCACAAUGCUUCCCUUCUUAUUCUUCAUUCCCUCUCUAUCCACAGCACUUCCAUACAUAGUUUCAUUUGCUCUUUUCCUUCUUUUUUUUGAGCAGAUCUCUUACCUGAUAAAGAAACGCCAAGCUCCUG
RNAcentral lists this unclassified non-coding RNA (570 nucleotides) under Hevea brasiliensis (rubber tree). The record is from RNAcentral. Lineage: Eukaryota; Viridiplantae; Streptophyta; Magnoliopsida; Malpighiales; Euphorbiaceae.